Dalotia coriaria is the source of this 1049-nucleotide long non-coding RNA. RefSeq lists it as uncharacterized. The transcript is spliced from 16 exons. The record is from RefSeq and is a predicted model, not a curated record. NCBI's taxonomy places the organism in Eukaryota, Metazoa, Arthropoda, Insecta, Coleoptera, Staphylinidae.
GUAUAUUUCCUUCAUCACAAUCCAGUUAAUUAUGGUAGAUGUUUGGAAAAAUAUCAGCAACAAUAGACUUGUUUAGUGUUUUUCUAACGUUAAUUUCUGUGUUAGACCAUUAUAAAUUUAUAUCAUUUGUGCAUUGGUGUAGUUUGAAUCGCAAGCUGCGGUUGCUGACCAGUUGCAUGUCAUCGCUUGAAGGUCUAGCUACUGAACCCGACCUCGUAGACUAACUAUUUCUUCAUCCGAUUGGAUUUUCCGCCUCAGUCCGAUAUCGUAGAAGGACCAUUCUUACAACAAAUUGGAUUUUCCGCUUGAGUCCGAUAUCGUAGAAGAACCAUUCUUACAGUAAAUUGGAUUUUCCGCCUGUGUCCAAUACUGUAGGAGAACCAAUCUCACAGCAAAUAAUAAGGAUUUUCCGCCUGAGUCCGAUAUCGUAGAAAAACCAUUCUUACAGCAAAUUGGAUUUUCCACCUGAGUCCGAUAUCGUAGAAGAAUCAUUCUUUCAGCAGAUGGAAUUUUCCGCCUGAGUCUGAUAUCGUAGAAGAACCAUUUUUACAGCAAAUUGACUAAUUUUUGAUGGUUUUUGGGAUUUUCCGCCUGAGUCCGAUAUCGUAGAAGAACCAUUUUUGCAUCAGAUUGGAUUUUGCACCUGAGUCUGACAUCGUAGAAGAACCAUUCUUACAUCAGAUUGACUAAUUUUUGAUGGUUUUACGGAUUUUGCACCUGAGUCUGACAACGUAGAAGGACUAUUUUUGCAUCAGAUUGGAUUUUGCACCUGAGUCUGACAUCGUAGAAGGACCAUUUUUGCAUCAGAUUGGAUUUUGCACCUGAGGCUUACAUUGUAGAAGGACCAUUUUUGCAUCAGAUUGGAUUUUGCACCCGAGUCUGACAUCGUAGAAGGACCAUUUUUGCAUCAGAUUGGAUUUUGCACCUGACUCUGAUAUCGUAGAAGGACCAUUUUUGCAUCAGAUUGGAUUUUGCACCUGACUCUAACAUCGUAAAAGGACCAUUCUUGCAUCAGAUUGUUAGUAAUAAAUUUCAUUAUCUUAAAUAAA